AUGAUGGCAGGGGCGACGCCGUGAUCACAAAGGUGGUUUUCCCAGGGCAAGGCUCACCCAUUGCACUUUGGAUGUGCUGCCCCUGUGAUUUACUCAAAUGUGGGAAACUCAAUGGCAUAAUUUGUGCUAGUGGGGGGACUGCAUUCACAGUUUCUCCUG
RNAcentral lists this small nuclear RNA (159 nucleotides) under Capra hircus (goat). RNAcentral's name for it is "U1 spliceosomal RNA (ENSCHIG00000009650.1)". It matches the Rfam family "U1 spliceosomal RNA". From Rfam's summary of the family: U1 is a small nuclear RNA (snRNA) component of the spliceosome (involved in pre-mRNA splicing). Its 5' end forms complementary base pairs with the 5' splice junction, thus defining the 5' donor site of an intron. There are significant differences in sequence and secondary structure between metazoan and yeast U1 snRNAs, the latter being much longer (568 nucleotides as compared to 164 nucleotides in human). Lineage: Eukaryota; Metazoa; Chordata; Mammalia; Artiodactyla; Bovidae. The record is from Rfam by way of RNAcentral.